CCAAAAACAAGCUCAGGUCUGGGAAACCAGCCGGAGUGCAAACCCUCUGUGAAUCAGAAAACACAUUUUCGCUUCCGUGGUUGGGCAAGCUUCCUUGACCGGAUUGCCUGACUGUAAUCCCACGGGCAGCAAAACAAGUUUAACUUUUAAAUCUGGUCUGAACAAUCGUUAAAAACGAAUGAAAUUA
Molecule: unclassified non-coding RNA, 187 nt
Filed under: uncultured fungus
Lineage: Eukaryota; Fungi
Description: sequence contains ITS1, 5.8S rRNA gene
Source: RNAcentral